CCUACGGGUGGCAGCAGUGGGGAAUAUUGGACAAUGGGGGAAACCCUGAUCCAGCGACGCCGCGUGAGUGAAGAAGUAUUUCGGUACGUAAAGCUCUAUCAGUAGGAAAGAAAAUGACGGUACCUGACUAAGAAGCCCCGGCUAAUAACGUGCCAGCAGCCGCGGUAAUACGUAGGGGGCAAGCGUUAUCCGGAUUUACUGGGGGAAAAGGGAGCGUAGGCGGCAGGGCAAGUCUGGAGUGAAAUGCCGGGGCGCAACCCCGGAACUGCUCUGGAAACUGUGAGGCUGGAGUGCAGGAGAGGUGAGCGGAAUUCCUGGUGUAGCGGUGAAAUGCGUAGAUAUCAGGAGGAACACCGGCGGCGAAGGCGGCUUACUGGACUGUAACUGACGUUGAGGCUCGAAGGCGUGGGGAGCAAACAGGAUUAGAUACCCUUGUAGUC
RNAcentral lists this ribosomal RNA (440 nucleotides) under uncultured bacterium. Its description in RNAcentral is "partial 16S ribosomal RNA". It matches the Rfam family "Bacterial small subunit ribosomal RNA", at positions 338 to 795 of the family's 1533-position model. The record is from RNAcentral.